GUGCUCACUUCAGUAGCAUAUAUACUAAAAUUGAAACAAUACAGAAAAGAUUAGCAUGGCCCCUGCACAAGGAUGAUAUGCAAAUUCAUAAAUCGUUCCAUAGUUUU
This is a small nuclear RNA of Bos grunniens (domestic yak), 107 nucleotides long. NCBI's taxonomy places the organism in Eukaryota, Metazoa, Chordata, Mammalia, Artiodactyla, Bovidae. The record is from Ensembl.